This 229-nucleotide unclassified non-coding RNA is filed under the name Hevea brasiliensis (rubber tree). The record is from RNAcentral. Lineage: Eukaryota; Viridiplantae; Streptophyta; Magnoliopsida; Malpighiales; Euphorbiaceae.
GUGGAUUGAGUCUGAAGUAGGAAUUACUAAUGAGAUAUCUGGUUUCUUUAGCAGAAUCUAUACAAGCUCUAGUACUGUAGGGGAGGAUGAAGUUGCUGCUGUACUUCCAAACAUAGUUCCUCAAGAGUUGAAUGAGCAGGUUGGCCCAAGUUUCGGAAGAGGAAAUCAAAGAUGCUGUUUUUUAUUUGGGAUGAAAGAACGCGCCAGGACCAGAUGGUUUUCCUGGUUU